UCAGGUUCGUGAUCCACAGCUGUCUUCAGUUCAGUUAAUUGCCCUCAGCCUAUUUAGGUGUCUUGGUUUCUGUUCAUACUUGUUAGGUCAUCUACUCUUUUAUACUUUGUCACCUUGUUUUGUCAUGUUUAGUGUUUAUUCAAUGUUUUAUUUCGUAUCACCAAGCCUGGUCUCCUGCAUAUUGGGUCCUCCUCCAUUUGGUCAUUCACUCACAGAGAACCUGGAUUUUGUUUUUGUUUUUUUUAGCCGGAUGUUCAAAUAGUUUUUCAAAUUUUCUUCCACUGGAUCCAAAACUUUUGCAUAAUAACCCUUUCCGUCCAGUCUGAUUCUCAAAUCUCCACCAAAGCUAUAAAAAAAAAUCAGUGAACAACUCUGAUACCAUGCUUGUCUAACAACAAAAUCUGUGACUCCGCCCCUUUUGGAAGACGGCUUGGCAACUUUAUUAACAAGAGGAGAAGUACACGUGAUUCGGGAAACAGACAAGGACUGCAGCCACACCAAACCCACAUCUGACACCUGAUAAGGAGCCUGAGUUCGGCACGAACGCCGUUUGGCGUGGAGCCAGAGAUCCUGCUGCAUGCUGGCGACCAGAGCCGAAGGUGCUGGGAGGCGAGAUGGAGAAAGAGGAGACGAUUUCAUCCCAAGGGAGUCGAUGCACGGAUGAGCCGCUGCAGCAAAGAGGGUCAGGAAGUUUACAGCCUGAGGACGAAAAAACAACAACAA
Molecule: non-coding RNA, 723 nt
Organism: Oryzias latipes (Japanese medaka)
Lineage: Eukaryota; Metazoa; Chordata; Actinopteri; Beloniformes; Adrianichthyidae
Source: RefSeq, a predicted model, not a curated record